Molecule: ribosomal RNA, 483 nt
Filed under: uncultured bacterium
Lineage: Bacteria
Description: partial 16S ribosomal RNA
Rfam family: Bacterial small subunit ribosomal RNA
Source: RNAcentral
UUGCACGCUGGCGGCAUGCUUUACACCUGCAAGUCGAACGGCAGCGCGGGCUUCGGCCUGGCGGCGAGUGGCGAACGGGUGAGUAAUACAUCGGAACGUGCCCAGUAGUGGGGGAUAGCUCGGCGAAAGCCGGAUUAAUACCGCAUACGACCUGAGGGUGAAAGCGGGGGAUCUUCGGACCUCGCGCUAUUGGAGCGGCCGAUGGCAGAUUAGCUAGUUGGUGGGGUAAAGGCCUACCAAGGCGACGAUCUGUAGCUGGUCUGAGAGGACGACCAGCCACACUGGGACUGAGACACGGCCCAGACUCCUACGGGAGGCAGCAGUGGGGAAUUUUGGACAAUGGGCGAAAGCCUGAUCCAGCAAUGCCGCGUGUGUGAUGAAGGCCUUCGGGUUGUAAAGCACUUUUGGCGGGAACGAAAAGGACUGUGCCAAUACCACGGUUCGAUGACGGUACCCGCAGAAUAAGCACCGGCUAACUACGUG